UACAGAGGGGGCAAGCGUUAUUCGGAAUUAUUGGGCGUAAAGGGCGCGUAGGCGGCCUGGCAAGUGGAAGGUGAAAUCCCUCGGCUUAACCGAGGAACUGCCCUCCAAACUGCUUGGCUUGAGUCCGGGAGAGGUGAGUGGAAUUCCCAGUGUAGCGGUGAAAUGCGUAGAUAUCAGGAAGAACACCCGUGGCGAAGGCGGCUCUCUGGGACGGUACUGACGCUGAGACGCGAAAGCGUGGGGAGCGAACAGG
This 253-nucleotide ribosomal RNA is filed under the name uncultured bacterium. RNAcentral's name for it is "partial 16S ribosomal RNA". It matches the Rfam family "Bacterial small subunit ribosomal RNA", at positions 524 to 776 of the family's 1533-position model. The record is from RNAcentral.